Molecule: ribosomal RNA, 796 nt
Filed under: uncultured Sphingobacteriia bacterium
Lineage: Bacteria; Pseudomonadati; Bacteroidota; Sphingobacteriia
Description: bacterial SSU rRNA
Rfam family: Bacterial small subunit ribosomal RNA
Source: RNAcentral
CAAGUCGGACGGGAUUCAGGUGCUUGCACCUGAUGAGAGUGGCGCACGGGUGCGUAACACGUAUGUAACCUACCUUUGUCAGGGGGAUAGCCUCUCGAAAGAGAGAUUAAGCCCGCAUAACAUCAUUUUAUGGCAUCAUAGGAUGAUCAAAUAUUUAUAGGACAAAGAUGGGCAUGCGGAACAUUAGCUAGUUGGCGAGGUAAUGGCUCACCAAGGCUACGAUGUUUAGGGGAUCUGAGAGGAUGACCCCCCACACUGGUACUGAGACACGGACCAGACUCCUACGGGAGGCAGCAGUAAGGAAUAUUGGUCAAUGGACGGAAGUCUGAACCAGCCAUGCCGCGUGCAGGAAGACGGCCCUACGGGUUGUAAACUGCUUUUGUACCGGAAUAAACCUCAGGUCGUGACCUGGGCUGAAUGUACGGUAAGAAUAAGGAUCGGCUAACUCCGUGCCAGCAGCCGCGGUAAUACGGAGGAUCCGAGCGUUAUCCGGAUUUAUUGGGUUUAAAGGGUGCGUAGGCGGCCUAUUAAGUCAGGGGUGAAAGACGGUAGCUUAACUAUCGCAGUGCCUUUGAUACUGAUAGGCUUGAAUGUACUUGAGGUAGGCGGAAUGUGACAAGUAGCGGUGAAAUGCAUAGAUAUGUCACAGAACACCAAUUGCGAAGGCAGCUUACUAAAGUAUGAUUGACGCUGAGGCACGAAAGCGUGGGGAUCAAACAGGAUUAGAUACCCUGGUAGUCCACGCCCUAAACGAUGAACACUCGAUGUUGGCGAUAUACGGUCAGCGUCUAAGCGA